RNAcentral lists this microRNA precursor (59 nucleotides) under Mus musculus (house mouse). RNAcentral describes it as "Mmu-Mir-599_pre stem-loop". The record is from RNAcentral. Lineage: Eukaryota; Metazoa; Chordata; Mammalia; Rodentia; Muridae.
UUUGAUAAGAUGACAUAGGAGAGGAACUUCUUUCACCUUUGUGUCAGUUUAUCAAACCC